Molecule: non-coding RNA, 687 nt
Filed under: Pan troglodytes (chimpanzee)
Lineage: Eukaryota; Metazoa; Chordata; Mammalia; Primates; Hominidae
Source: RNAcentral
UAUAAAUGCCAGUUAAAGCAAGAGCUCUUGUGUUUCUGUUCCUGUGGAGUGCAGCUGAAAUGACCGCUACUGCUCCUUUCACAGUAUAUUUACAUGAGCUUCCUGUGGACAUCAGCGCCAUUUAAAAUUAAGGCUGGAACACAGAUGUGGGGCUGGAAGUGGAGCAGCCCCUUUUAGCCAUGAGGCCCAAAGCCACAUGCUAAGGAUGGUGAAGCAGGGGAUAGAAAGAGCCUGUGUCUUUGCUGACUUCCUUAAGCCACGGCACCAGCCUGGGCCUGCCCUACUCUGGACAUCUAAAUGUCAGGAGCUAAGAAUCAAGUCAGUCUAGAGGUGUUCGUUGCCAUGUGGAGAGAUCCUUCCCAAGAAGAAAGAUGCUACAAAGUGUCCUGGAAAUCCUCUUUGCCCAUCCAGAUCCACCCUCCCUAGCCUGCUCUGUAACUCAGGAAGCUGCUUUUCAUGGUUCACAUAAACCAGGCUCCUGUACCCUCCAGAUAGGUCCAUCCUAUGGGUGGUACCAGCAGGAGACCAGAGAGAUGAAGGAGGGAAAAAAAGAACAUUAGGGGUUGAAUUGUAUCACCCCAAAAUUCAUAUGGUGAAGUAUAACCCCUUCGGAAUGUAACCUUAUUGGAAAUGUCAGAGGCACGUGAACCAGAGCAACUCCAUCUUGAAUAGGGGCUGGGUAAAAUG